CCUACGGGAGGCAGCAGUGAGGAAUAUUGGUCAAUGGACGAGAGUCUGAACCAGCCAAGUAGCGUGAAGGAUGACUGCCCUAUGGGUUGUAAACUUCUUUUAUAAAGGAAUAAAACGAGGCACGUGUGCCUUUUUGCAUGUACUUUAUGAAUAAGGAUCGGCUAACUCCGUGCCAGCAGCCGCGGUAAUACGGAGGAUCCGAGCGUUAUCCGGAUUUAUUGGGUUUAAAGGGAGCGGAGAUGGGUUGUUAAGUCAGCUGUGAAAGUUUGCGGCUCAACCGUAAAAUUGCAAUUGAUACUGGCAGUCUUGAGUACAGUUGAGGUAGGCGGAAUUCGUGGUGUAGCGGUGAAAUGCUUAGAUAUCACGAAGAACCCCGAUUGCGAAGGCAGCUUGCUAAAUUGUGACUGACAUUGAGGCUCGAAAGUGUGGGUAUCAAACAGGAUUAGAUACCCCAGUAGUC
Molecule: ribosomal RNA, 460 nt
Filed under: uncultured bacterium
Lineage: Bacteria
Description: partial 16S ribosomal RNA
Rfam family: Bacterial small subunit ribosomal RNA
Source: RNAcentral